CAGAGCAUGACCUGGGAAAUUCCAAUCUUUCCUCUCCCUCUGGAGUGCUGCUCUCUUUAAGGUCAGCUGAGGGAAAAAGUGAAUUGGCUCUUCCAGAGGGAGAUGCAGUUUCUCUCUUUCCAUUUGGCAAUGGAGGGAGAAGUCUGGACAGCUCUAAGUGUCUUCAGCAUGGUGGUCCCCAGAAAGGAGGCUCUGGCACAUCUGGUUGGGCCUAUGAAGAAAACACAGUCCAUCAGGCAGGUUGCUGUAACCUGAGGAGCAAGGAUAAGCGUAAGAAAUAAUAUUAUUGGAGAGUCCAACAGUACAAACGAACACUCGGAAGAAACUCUCCGGUGUGUAAAUGGAGCAUACACACAGAAUUUUCAGAAGUGUCGAGACCUGACCCAAAGAAUGUAUUUACUGGCUUAACAAUUACAAGUACGUGUGGUUCUGUAUGCCUUUGGCUUUCUUUUCCUCUGAACAGUGAGGAAGUGUCAAGA
RNAcentral lists this long non-coding RNA (479 nucleotides) under Struthio camelus australis. Its description in RNAcentral is "lncRNA (ENSSCUG00000010633.1)". Lineage: Eukaryota; Metazoa; Chordata; Aves; Struthioniformes; Struthionidae. The record is from RNAcentral.